This 253-nucleotide ribosomal RNA is filed under the name uncultured bacterium. Its description in RNAcentral is "partial 16S ribosomal RNA". It matches the Rfam family "Bacterial small subunit ribosomal RNA", at positions 524 to 776 of the family's 1533-position model. The record is from RNAcentral.
UACGUAGGCAGCGAGCGUUGUUCGGAGUUACUGGGCGUAAAGCGUGCGUAGGCGGUUUUCUAAGUUUGGUGUGAAAUCUCCCGGCUCAACUGGGAGGGUGCGCCGAAGACUGGAAGGCUUGAGUAUGGGAGAGGUAAGCGGAAUUCCUGGUGUAGCGGUGAAAUGCGUAGAUAUCAGGAGGAACACCUGCGGUGUAGACGGCUUACUGGACCAUAACUGACGCUGAGGCACGAAAGCGUGGGUAGCAAACAGG